UCCCCGUUAUCCGGGGCGGUUUCACUAGAGUUCCCACCAUUAUGUGCUGGCAACUAGACCCAGGGGUUGCGCUCGUUGCUGGACUUAACCAAACACCUCACGGCACGAGCUGACGACAGCCAUGCAGCACCUGUACCGCCCCCCUUGCGGGUAGCCCACUUUCAUGGGUUUAGACGGCCUUUCAAGCCUAGGUAAGGUUCUUCGCGUUGCAUCGAAUUGAACCACAUGCUCCACUGCUUGUGCGGGCCCCCGUCAAUUCCUUUGAGUUUCACCCUUGCGAGCGUACUCCCCAGGUGGAUCACUUAACGCGUUAGCUCCGGCACCGACCUUACGGUCGACACCAAGUGAUCAUCGUUUAGGGCAUGGACUAC
This 371-nucleotide unclassified non-coding RNA is filed under the name uncultured Ignavibacteria bacterium. RNAcentral describes it as "contains 16S-23S intergenic spacer region". Lineage: Bacteria; Pseudomonadati; Ignavibacteriota; Ignavibacteria. The record is from RNAcentral.